Molecule: ribosomal RNA, 253 nt
Filed under: uncultured bacterium
Lineage: Bacteria
Description: partial 16S ribosomal RNA
Rfam family: Bacterial small subunit ribosomal RNA
Source: RNAcentral
UACGGAGGGUGCAAGCGUUAUCCGGAUUCACUGGGUUUAAAGGGUGUGUAGGCGGGCUAUUAAGUCAGUGGUGAAAUCUCCGGGCUCAACCCGGAAACUGCCAUUGAUACUAUUAGUCUUGAAUCUUGUUGAGGUAGGCGGAAUAUAUCAUGUAGCGGUGAAAUGCAUAGAUAUGAUAUAGAACACCGAUUGCGAAGGCAGCUUACUAAACAAGCAUUGACGCUGAGGCACGAAAGCGUGGGGAUCAAACAGG